AUUGAACGCUGGCGGCAGGCCUAACACAUGCAAGUCGAACGGUAACAGGAAGCAGCUUGCUGCUUUGCUGACGAGUGGCGGACGGGUGAGUAAUGUCUGGGAAACUGCCCGAUGGAGGGGGAUAACUACUGGAAACGGUAGCUAAUACCGCAUAACGUCGCAAGACCAAAGAGGGGGACCUUCGGGCCUCUUGCCAUCGGAUGUGCCCAGAUGGGAUUAGCUUGUUGGUGAGGUAACGGCUCACCAAGGCGACGAUCCCUAGCUGGUCUGAGAGGAUGACCAGCCACACUGGAACUGAGACACGGUCCAGACUCCUACGGGAGGCAGCAGUGGGGAAUAUUGCACAAUGGGCGCAAGCCUGAUGCAGCCAUGCCGCGUGUAUGAAGAAGGCCUUCGGGUUGUAAAGUACUUUCAGCGGGGAGGAAGGUGUCGUGGUUAAUAACCGCAGCAAUUGACGUUACCCGCAGAAGAAGCACCGGCUAACUCCGUGCCAGCAGCCGCCGUAA
RNAcentral lists this ribosomal RNA (506 nucleotides) under uncultured bacterium. RNAcentral's name for it is "partial 16S ribosomal RNA". It matches the Rfam family "Bacterial small subunit ribosomal RNA", at positions 30 to 523 of the family's 1533-position model. The record is from RNAcentral.